UGUAAGUUUACUUUCGAGGUGUAACUUUACACCAAUUUGGUGUCGCCACAGAGGAAAGUAGAUUUACACCAAAGAAGUGCUAGAUAACCUAUGGCAGUGUAAGUUUACUCUCUCAGUGUAAACAAACACCAAAUUGGUGUCCCCACAGAGGCAAGCGGAUUUACACCAAAGCAGCGUCAAAUAACCUAGGACAGUGUAAGUUUACCCUCUCAGUGUAAAUAAACACCAAAUUGGUGUCCCCACAGAGGCAAACGGAUUUACACCAAAGCAGCGUUAAGUAACCUAGGAUAGUGUAAAUUUACUCUCUCAGUGUAAACAAACACCAAAUUGGUGUCCCCACAGAGGCAAGCGGAUUUACACCAAAGCAGCGUUAAAUAACCUAGGAUAGUGUAAGUUUACCCUCUCAGCGUAAAUAAACACCAAAUUGGUGUCCCCACAGAGGCAAGCGGAUUUACACCAAAGCAGCAUCAAAUAACCUAGAAUGGUGCAAAUUAACACCAAAUGGGUGUUCAUAUAGACACAACUAUUUACACUGAAGAGGUGUAAAAUAACACUGAAAUCAGUGUUAACUGACACCUUUUCGGUGUCCCCACAGAGGCAAGAAUUUACACCGAUUUUGGUGUUCUGGCAACACUCCCAGAUUUACAGUGUAGUAUUGAUGUAUAAAGUCUUGGGGAACCACACUGCGCCAAACCUUAAAGAUCUUUUUUCUCGGAGAAAUGCAUCGCAGAAUAUUUAUGAUUUACGC
This is a non-coding RNA of Paramuricea clavata, 748 nucleotides long. Lineage: Eukaryota; Metazoa; Cnidaria; Anthozoa; Malacalcyonacea; Plexauridae. The record is from the annotation of a GenBank genome assembly.